AGUUUGAUUCUGGCUCAGAUUGAACGCUGGCGGGAUGCUUUACGUAAGUCGGACGGCAGCACGGACUUCGGUCUGGUGGCGAGUGGCGAACGGGUGAGUAAUGUAUCGGAACGUGCCUAGUAGCGGGGGAUAACUACGCGAAAGCGUAGCUAAUACCGCAUACGCCCUUCGGGGGAAAGCGGGGGACCUUCGGGCCUCGCACUAUUGGGCGGCCGAUAUCGGAUUAGCUAGUUGGUGGGGUAACGGCUCACCAAGGCGACGAUCCGUAGCUGGUUUGAGAGGACGACCAGCCACACUGGACGGGGUUGGCCCAGACUCUACGGGAGGCAGCAGUGAAAUUUUGGACAAUGGGGAAACCCUGAUCCAGCCAUCGCGUGUGCGAUGAAGGCCUUCCGGGUUGUAAAGCACUUUUUGGCAGGAAAGAAACGGCACGGGAUAUUACCCCGUGCAACUGACGGUACCUGCAGAAUAAGCACCGGCUAACUACGUGCCAGCAGCCGCGGUAAUACGUAAGUGCAAGCGUUAAUCAGAUUACUGGGCGUAAAGCGUGCGCAGGCGGUUCGGAAAGAAGAUGUGAAAUCCCAGAGCUUAACUUUGGAACUGCAUUUUUAACUACCGAGCUAGAGUGUGUCAGAGGGAGGUGGAAUUCCGCGUGUAGCAGUGAAAAAUGCGUAGAUAUGCGGAGGAACACCGAUGGCGAAGGCAGCCUCCUGGGAUAACACUGACGCUCAUGCACAGCGAUGGGGAGCAAACAAGGAUUAGAUACCCUGGUAGUCUGCCUAAACGAUGUCCAACUAGCUGUUGGGGCCUUCGGGCCUUGGUAGCGCAACUAGCGUGGUAAGUUGACCGCCUGCAGAUGCAGUCGCAAGAUUAAAACUCAAAGGAAUUGACGGGGACCCGCACAAGCGGUGGAUGAUGUGGAUUAAUUCAUUUAGCGCGAAAAACCUUACCUACCCUUGACAUGUCUGGAAUCCCGAAGAGAUUUGGGAGUGCUCGCAAGAGAACCGGAACACAGGUGCUGCAUGGCUGUCGUCAGCUCGUGUCGUGAGAUGUUGGGUUAAGUCCCGCAACGAGCGCAACCCUUGUCAUUAGUUGCUACGAAAGGGCCUCUAAUGAGACUGCCGGUGAUAAACCGGAGGAAGGUGGGGAUGACGUCAAGUCCUCAUGGCCCUUAUGGGUAGGGCUACACGUCAUACAAUGGUCGGGACAGAGGGUCGCCAACCCGAGGGACUAAUCCAGAGGCGAUCGUAGUCCGGAUCGCAGUCUGCAACUCGACUGCGUGAAGUCGGAAUCGCUAGUAAUCGCGGAUCAGCAUGUCGCGGUGAAUACGUUCCCGGGUCUUGUACACACCGCCCGUCACACCAUGGAGUGGGUUUACCAGAAGCGUUAGCCUAACCGUAAGGAGGGCGAUUACCACGGUAGGAUUCAUGACUGGGGUGAAGUCGUAACAAGGUAG
RNAcentral lists this ribosomal RNA (1456 nucleotides) under uncultured Bordetella sp. Its description in RNAcentral is "partial 16S-23S ribosomal RNA intergenic spacer". It matches the Rfam family "Bacterial small subunit ribosomal RNA". Lineage: Bacteria; Pseudomonadati; Pseudomonadota; Betaproteobacteria; Burkholderiales; Alcaligenaceae. The record is from RNAcentral.